UGCAAGUCGAACGGCAGCACAGUAAGAGCUUGCUCUUAUGGGUGGCGAGUGGCGGACGGGUGAGGAAUACAUCGGAAUCUACCUUUUCGUGGGGGAUAACGUAGGGAAACUUACGCUAAUACCGCAUACGACCUUCGGGUGAAAGCAGGGGACCUUCGGGCCUUGCGCGGAUAGAUGAGCCGAUGUCGGAUUAGCUAGUUGGCGGGGUAAAGGCCCACCAAGGCGACGAUCCGUAGCUGGUCUGAGAGGAUGAUCAGCCACACUGGAACUGAGACACGGUCCAGACUCCUACGGGAGGCAGCAGUGGGGAAUAUUGGACAAUGGGCGCAAGCCUGAUCCAGCCAUACCGCGUGGGUGAAGAAGGCCUUCGGGUUGUAAAGCCCUUUUGUUGGGAAAGAAAAGCAGUCGAUUAAUACUCGGUUGUUCUGACGGUACCCAAAGAAUAAGCACCGGCUAACUUCGUGCCAGCAGCCGCGGUAAUACGAAGGGUGCAAGCGUUACUCGGAAUUACUGGGCUAUAAAGCGUGCCUUA
Molecule: ribosomal RNA, 532 nt
Filed under: Stenotrophomonas sp. NCCP-649
Lineage: Bacteria; Pseudomonadati; Pseudomonadota; Gammaproteobacteria; Lysobacterales; Lysobacteraceae
Description: bacterial SSU rRNA
Rfam family: Bacterial small subunit ribosomal RNA
Source: RNAcentral